GGAAACAGGUGCUAAUACCGUAUAACACUAUUUUCCGCAUGGAAGAAAGUUGAAAGGCGCUUUUGCGUCACUGAUGGAUGGACCCGCGGUGCAUUAGCUAGUUGGUGAGGUAACGGCUCACCAAGGCCACGAUGCAUAGCCGACCUGAGAGGGUGAUCGGCCACACUGGGACUGAGACACGGCCCAGACUCCUACGGGAGGCAGCAGCAGGGAAUCUUCGGCAAUGGACGAAAGUCUGACCGAGCAACGCCGCGUGAGUGAAGAAGGUUUUCGGAUCGUAAAACUCUGUUGUUAGAGAAGAACAAGGAUGAGAGUAGAACGUUCAUCCCUUGACGGUAUCUAACCAGAAAGCCACGGCUAACUACGUGCCAGCAGCCGCGGUAAUACGUAGGUGGCAAGCGUUGUCCGGAUUUAUUGGGCGUAAAGCGAGCGCAGGCGGUUUCUUAAGUCUGAUGUGAAAGCCCCCGGCUCAACCGGGGAGGGUCAUUGGAAACUGGGAGAUUUGAGUGCAGAAGAGGAGAGUGGAAUUCCAUGUGUAGCGGUGAAAUGCGUAGAUAUAUGGAGGAACACCAGUGGCGAAGGCGGCUCUCUGGUCUGUAACUGACGCUGAGGCUCGAAAGCGUGGGGAGCGAACAGGAUUAGAUACCCUGGUAGUGCACGCCGUAAACGAU
RNAcentral lists this ribosomal RNA (671 nucleotides) under uncultured bacterium. RNAcentral's name for it is "bacterial SSU rRNA". It matches the Rfam family "Bacterial small subunit ribosomal RNA", at positions 152 to 810 of the family's 1533-position model. The record is from RNAcentral.